RNAcentral lists this ribosomal RNA (591 nucleotides) under uncultured bacterium. RNAcentral describes it as "bacterial SSU rRNA". It matches the Rfam family "Bacterial small subunit ribosomal RNA", at positions 338 to 943 of the family's 1533-position model. The record is from RNAcentral.
CCUACGGGAGGCAGCAGUGGGGAAUCUUGCGCAAUGGGCGAAAGCCUGACGCAGCAACGCCGCGUGCGGGAAGAAGGCUUUCGGGCUGUAAACCGCUUUCAGCAGGAACGAAAAUGACGGUACCUGCAGAAGAAGGAGCGGCCAACUAUGUGCCAGCAGCCGCGGUGAUACAUAGGCUUCAAGCGUUGUCCGGGAUUUAUUGGGCGUAAAGAGUUCGUAGGCGGUCGAGUAAGUCGGGUGUGAAAAUUCUGGGCUCAACCCAGAGACGCCACCCGAUACUGCUUGACUUGAGUUCGAUAGGGGAGUGGGGAAUUCCUAGUGUAGCGGUGAAAUGCGCAGAUAUUAGGAGGAACACCGGUGGCGAAGGCGCCACUCUGGAUCGAUACUGACGCUGAGGAACGAAAGCAUGGGUAGCAAACAGGAUUAGAUACCCUGGUAGUCCAUGCCGUAAACGGUGGGCACUAGGUGUGGGUUUCUAUUAACGAAAUCCGCGCCGUCGCUAACGCAUUAAGUGCCCGCCUGGGGAGUACGGUCGCAAGCUAAACUCAAAGGAAUUGACGGCUUGAGACGNGCGAGCGCGACGAGGGAGAG